CCUGAUAACCUGGGGCCUGAUAAAAAGAUUCUUAAUCUCAGUCAGACUUGCCUGGUCAAAUAAAGGUUAAUAAAUAAAUAGAUCCACAAGUGGCUCAAAACAGAACUCCAGGUUUGUUUUUGAUGAGAGACCAAUAUUGUAACAUGGUAAAAAGCUCUAAAAAAUAGACUUUGCGUAAUACCCCUAACCCAGGCAACCAAACUACUCUGCUCUAUUUAUUCUAUUUCUAGUAGCCAAAAAGAGCAGAGCGAAAAGAAUCAAACAUGACAGCGCACAAGUGGCUCAAAUGUACACUUUGAGGCGAUUUUUCCAGGAAAAAAAGGCACUGUAUCAUCAGCAUGUUCUUUUACUUUUCUGAACACAGAAAUAGCCUAUUUUAAAAUACUGAUAUUGAUCACCUGCCAGGACUUAAGAACAAUUAGCAUGAGCUACAAGAGCUAGCGGUAACACAUCAUGCAAGGCGCUAUCCUGACAAAAUGACUACAGAUUGUUUGUUGAUAUCUGGCAAAGGCAAAAUAUAAAAGAUAAUUGACCGGAGUUUACGGACGGCAAAGGUAAUUGGAACAAAAGCACAUUUCUUGUUCCCGGUUUCAGGCGGUGGAUUACCUGGGAGACCAGACUCUGGAGAAGAUGUCUGAGUUCCUGGACAGAGGCGGAGUCCUCCCAGAGGAGCCUGAGGACGAGGAAGAUGACGAGGAUGAUGAUGAAGAAGUAGUUGAACCAGAGAAAGAAACAGAUGAGGAGGAAGUCGCGCCUACAGAGUCGCCGGCCAACUCAACAGGCAAAGACGAGCUCUGAACAGUCCCUGUAUUUCCAUUCAGUUAUAUCCUCUUAAUACCUUUCCUCUUAAUAUAGAACAUUUUGGUAUGACUUUUUUUUUAAUUAUUGGUGCCAAACAUGUUACCCCCACCCCUCCCCCAUGGAUGACAGCAAUGCUACAUGACACAAAGAUAUAAAAAAUCAAAAUAUAUUAUCACUGUUGAAAUGUUGUCUGACAUUUACAGACGCUAAGUUUCAAGCAAACAUGCCCCCAUUCAAAAUGUGUUGUCAUAUAACCUAUUGGACACAUUUAAUUUAUUGUCAGUAAUUGACUUUUGUGAAACUGAACAUCGUCUCAGCACAAUUUGUUGUUUAUUUGUUUUGAAUAAAAUAUGGUUUGAUAAAAUGUUCAAUUGAAAGCUUGGAAUGUGUUUUGUGCGACUGAUAGGUGUCACAUGACUUCAACUUUAUAAUAGGCUAUAUUUGUUGUUUCUUGCAUACAGUGUUUUCAUCAGUUAACUCCAUAACAAAGGGCAGAUAUUUGCAUUAAUUUGAGAUGAAUUGCCAUAAUAUGAUAUUAGCCACUGGGUCUUGAUCAAGAUAAAAUCAGGACUAAACCGACUAAUAUAGACCUAUAUCCGACUAAAUUAUGUCUAAUCUGGACAUAAACUACAUCUAAACCAGAAUAAUAACUUCAUGAAUGCGAUACUAAAUAUGCAUGACCCUCUUACCCCAGCCUAAACCGAGCGCAUCUUCUCUAGUUCUGCUCUACCCAAAUCUAAAA
RNAcentral lists this long non-coding RNA (1543 nucleotides) under Neogobius melanostomus (round goby). Its description in RNAcentral is "lncRNA (ENSNMLG00000020155.1)". Lineage: Eukaryota; Metazoa; Chordata; Actinopteri; Gobiiformes; Gobiidae. The record is from RNAcentral.